RNAcentral lists this ribosomal RNA (252 nucleotides) under uncultured bacterium. RNAcentral describes it as "partial 16S ribosomal RNA". It matches the Rfam family "Bacterial small subunit ribosomal RNA", at positions 524 to 776 of the family's 1533-position model. The record is from RNAcentral.
UACGAAGGCCCCAAGCGUUAUCCGGAAUUACUGGGCGUAAAGCGUCUGUAGGUGGUCUAGCCAGUCUCGCGUGAAACUUCGGAGCUCAACUCCGAAUUGCGCGGGAAACUACUAGACUUGAGUGUGGGAGAGGCAAGCAGAACUGUAUGAGUAGGGGUGCAAUCCGUUGAUACAUACAAGAAUACCAAAAGCGAAGGCAGCUUGCUGGAACACAACUGACACUGAGAGACGAAAGCGUGGGGAGCAAAAGGG